CCAUACUGAGGAUGACCACAGUAAUGGCCACUGCUAUGUGAAUUUGCAGCCAUCUGUAACAAGGUCCUUUUCCCUACACCUUGGAUCUGGACUGGUCUCAAGGCUUGCUUUGGCAUAGAAAGUGGCAGAAGUGCCCCAUCUCCAAGUCUGGACCUCAAGGUGGAGAGAGGCUCAGCUGCAGCCACCAAGGCCCUCCUCUGUCAGCCAGCCCACAGCUAACCACAGGGACACCAGGGAACGCAGCCUCGAUUAGCCACGGCCAGCUCACUGCAGAACUUGCUGUCCCACCAACCCUUAAACUCACGGGGAAUUGCUUGUAGUUGCAGCUUUAAGCCACUAAGUUUGGAGGCAACUUGUUAUACAGCAGUAACCAGCUGAUAAAAUUAACUCCAUCAGUGACACACAGCUGGUAAGGAGCACAGCUGGGACUGAACUUGUAGCUGCACUGGACCAAUUGGGUCUGUCUGGUUAAGAGAGGAAGGAG
RNAcentral lists this long non-coding RNA (484 nucleotides) under Marmota monax (woodchuck). Lineage: Eukaryota; Metazoa; Chordata; Mammalia; Rodentia; Sciuridae. The record is from RNAcentral.